Molecule: ribosomal RNA, 535 nt
Filed under: uncultured archaeon
Lineage: Archaea
Description: bacterial SSU rRNA
Rfam family: Bacterial small subunit ribosomal RNA
Source: RNAcentral
CAGCCGCCGCGGUAAUACGUAUGGGGCAAGCGUUAUCCGGAUUUAUUGGGCGUAAAGAGCGCGUAGGCGGAUUGUUAAGCGAGAUGUGAAAACCGGGGGCUCAACCCGCGGCUUGCAUCUCGAACUGGCAGUCUAGAGUUUGGUAGAGGAGUGUGGAAUUCCCAGUGUAGCGGUGGAAUGCUUAGAUAUUGGGAGGAACACCAGUGGCGAAGGCGGCACUCUGGGCCAUAACUGACGCUAAGGCGCGAAAGCUAGGGGAGCAAACAGGAUUAGAUACCCUGGUAGUCCUAGCCGUAAACGAUGGGCACUAGGUGUGGGGAGUACUCUCUCCGUGCCGCAGCUAACGCAUUAAGUGCCCCGCCUGGGGAGUACGGCCGCAAGGCUAAAACUCAAAGGAAUUGACGGGGGCCCGCACAAGCAGCGGAGCAUGUGGCUUAAUUCGAAGCAACGCGAAGAACCUUACCAGGGCUUGACAUUUUGGUGAAGCGGCGGAAACGUCGUGGCCGAAAGGAGCCAAAACAGGAGGUGCAUGGCC